This 220-nucleotide ribosomal RNA is filed under the name Pistricoccus aurantiacus. Its description in RNAcentral is "partial 16S ribosomal RNA". It matches the Rfam family "Bacterial small subunit ribosomal RNA", at positions 720 to 939 of the family's 1533-position model. Lineage: Bacteria; Pseudomonadati; Pseudomonadota; Gammaproteobacteria; Oceanospirillales; Halomonadaceae. The record is from RNAcentral.
AGCGGCCUUCUGGACUGACACUGACACUGAGGUGCGAAAGCGUGGGUAGCAAACAGGAUUAGAUACCCUGGUAGUCCACGCCGUAAACGAUGUCGACUAGCCGUUGGGUCCCUUGAGGACUUUGUGGCGCAGUUAACGCGAUAAGUCGACCGCCUGGGGAGUACGGCCGCAAGGUUAAAACUCAAAUGAAUUGACGGGGGCCCGCACAAGCGGUGGAGCA